AUCGUGGAUCUGGAAUCCAUGUGGAGAUUUGAUCGCAGAUCCUUCGUCAUCAGAAAUUGAGCUUCGCGUCUUCAUUUUUCCCCCUCUCUUCCCCAUAUCGACUUCGAUCAAGCUUGCGGAAGGUCAGAGAUGAUCGAACGAAUGUGUUUAGGAAGAUGAUUGAGCAGAAAUUGAAGAAAUCACGAGAAAAUUCGAAGAAAUCAAUACAAUAAGCUCUGGUACCAUAAUAGAGAUCGAGAGCAAAGAGAGAUUUGGUAAACUGAUCUCUUAUUUUCCACAAACGGAAUGUGUUCUGGUACAAGAUAUAUAUACAAUUACUUAACUUGUAAACCAGACUGAAAUCAAGUAUACCAGCUAAUCUAAUCUAAUCUAGAUUAAACCGGUUUACACAUAUAUAAUAAUAACCUUAUCACUCAAGGUGUUAGUGUUACUAUCUCCCUUCUUCAGCACCGCGUCCGACAUUCUCACCCAAAGAGAGGUUGCGGGAAAUGAAAGAAAGACACGUACCUUUUUCUCUCUCUUUCCCAGAAAUAAAAACCACUCUCCCGAAAUUCUCUCUACUUCCUUUAUAUACGGUUAGCAACCUACAUAGUUAGUAAUUGGGCUUUUCUAAACUUUGAAACCCAAUAAUGAUAAUCCAAACGGAACAAAUAGCUAAACCUAACCGGAUAAACCAAAACCGGAUUCGAAUCGUUAUUAAAAAAUAUCCAAACUAAACCAAAAUCCAAACUAAGAUCCAAAAAUAUCUGAAAUUAGUUAAAUACGUUAAUGUUGUAAUAUAUGUUAAGGUGAAUUAUAUAUUUUAAAGUAUUCAAAAUAUUUUUGUAGUUUUGUUUAUUUGUUAUUUUGAAUACUUUUUAGUUAAUUUAGAUAAUUUAACUAUUUUUAAUUAGAUUUUUGAAUAAUUUCUAUAUACAUUUUUAAAACAAUUGUCAAACUUUGGUUACAAUCCGAUCCGAACCGAACCGAACCUGACCCUAUAAUUAGUAAAACCCGAACAUGAAUUAUGAGCGUAACACUGAAAAUCAGAAAAUCCUAAUCAACCGAACCGAAACCGACGGGCCCCGAACGACCAGGCCUAGGAACAAAUCAUUAUUGCAAUAAUUUGUCCACUCAGAAAAUUUGAAUUAGUUAAUUUUAUAAAUGUAAGAUGAUUUUAUGUGAAUUGAAAAUUUUAAAAAUCUAUUAUAAAACCGCAAUAUUUUGAUUUUGUUGUCUUUGACUAAAAAAUCUGUUAAAACACCUUUAAAACAAUUUCAGAAUUUACAAAAUUUUCCGAUAACGAUAAAUUUCAGAAUAUUUUAUCAAAUUUAAUAACACUAGAUAUUAAUAAUAUUUUUAAUAUUCAUGUUUAAAUAACACUAGAUUUAUUAUUUUAAGAUAAAUAAUCUCAAAUUCUUUAUUGAAUACUUUUUUUAUUCAUUUUUAUGAGUUAUUUAAUUUUGUGCUGAAAACGUUGAAAACAUUAUUUAAGAAAAAACAAAAGGAAAACAGUGUAUCUUAUAACUGUCGGUUAAAUCCGUGCGAUAGAAAACUUUUAGUUCCAAUUCACAAAAAAACACGGUACAUUUCAUGCUUCAGAUACAUAUCUUAGUCACAUGUUUAAGGGCAUUUAAUUUUAAAAACUAACUAGAUUUUUAUUUUCAUUCUUACCAUUUUGAUAAAAUUUGAUUGAAUGUAUAACUUCUAUUAGAAAACAAAUAAUUUAGAAGUUAUUUUAUUGUUUCAAAAAGAUAUUGUUAUAUUAUAGUGUUUAAUUUUCAAGCAUUGUUCUCGUAUCUGGCUCAUACCGUGGUCAACCGGUAGAUCCGGCAACUUGUGUAUAAUCUAGUUUGGAUUUUUUUUUAAUUAGAAAUCCGAUAAAUCCCUACAAAAAUUCAAAAACCAUUAUCAACUCACGAUCCGAUAUUGGAUGAUCAGCUAAAAACCCAAAAGAUAUGAUUUUUUUUAUUUUUUUGAUUAAAUAACUCAUGUUUUUUAAUAUUAUAUAAAAUUGAUUUUUUUUAUUUCUUAGACUUCGAUGGGCACACCGGAGUGUUGACGCUACGGGCAAAGUAUCUACCAAGAGGUUGCUUUUGCAAGUUUGAAACAAAAGUUUGGUAUGCUACUGAGAAUAAAGAUUUCUUCCAUGUUAUCACAUCCUGCAGCAGAAGCUUGCCUCCACCUCCAGGUAAAAAGGCAAAAUGGUCAUAUAUUUUGUUUUGUUGUUCGUUAUUAAAAACUCUCUCUCUCCAUAUAUAUAUUUUUUUUGUUGGUCAUGUCUACCACAGAGGAUGAAAAACAAGAAUGUGGAUUUGACACACUUUCCAUGGAUGAGCUAUUCAAAGUCAAUAUGCCUGAUUGGUUGCCUGAUGACUAUGCCACUAGUAAGCUGCAAUACUACGAGAUGAAAGAAUCAGAUGUGGAACAAGGAAAAGAAUGGCUUCCUUCAUCUAUACGCGGAACUAGCCUUAUACACCAAGAUGCAAACGGACCCGUACAUGUUUGAGCAGUCAAACCCAUUUGAGUUGGGAAAGGUAAUUGUGCAAAUCAGAGGAGUUGUCGGCUCAAUGGAAAAGGUCACAGUGGAUAAUGCAGUCUUCUACAUUAGCUUCAAAACAGGGUGUGGUGUUGUCUGCAAAGGUGUCAUAAGGAGAACAAGGGAUGGGAUGCCAGAGCAUUUAUCCCUUGAAGCCAAGUGGUUGGAAGGAUGUCGGAGUCCCUCAUUAUUUUCUUAAUGGGUUGCUGAGACUAUGAGAGUAUUAAAAUCGGUCUAAGUAACGUUUGUCUUCCAUCUAGCAAGUAUCUUAAGAUGAUUUAGCGCCUUAUGAAUUCAAAAAAACUACUAUAAAUAUCUUCAUAUUUGUGCCUUCUAUCUAGGAAAAUCACAUAACAAAAUAACACGUGGAUAGAAAAGAAAAUAUCAAGAAAAUGCAAAAAUUUGUUAAUGCCUUACUUUAGAUCUUUAAUCGUAUAUAUAUAUAUAUAUAUAUAUAAGUAUAUCUUUUUUACUAAUUAUAUGUAUGGGUAAUCCUGUUUAAUAUAAUAACAAAUUUAAUUAAAUGCUCUUGGCCAAACUGAGUUCAUAGUUCCACUAAAAAUGCAUGCAAAAUGUUUUGAUACACAAUAU
Long non-coding RNA from Brassica napus (rape), 3109 nucleotides. RefSeq lists it as uncharacterized. The record is from RefSeq and is a predicted model, not a curated record. Lineage: Eukaryota; Viridiplantae; Streptophyta; Magnoliopsida; Brassicales; Brassicaceae. The transcript has 3 exons.